RNAcentral lists this ribosomal RNA (513 nucleotides) under bacterium enrichment culture clone ALO1_GLFRUDD03HF8DN. Its description in RNAcentral is "bacterial SSU rRNA". It matches the Rfam family "Bacterial small subunit ribosomal RNA", at positions 9 to 516 of the family's 1533-position model. The record is from RNAcentral.
GAGUUUGAUCAUGGCUCAGAUUGAACGCUGGCGGCAGGCCUAACACAUGCAAGUCGAGCGGAUGACGGGAGCUUGCUCCUUGAUUCAGCGGCGGACGGGUGAGUAAUGCCUAGGAAUCUGCCUGGUAGUGGGGGACAACGUUUCGAAAGGAACGCUAAUACCGCAUACGUCCUACGGGAGAAAGCAGGGGACCUUCGGGCCUUGCGCUAUCAGAUGAGCCUAGGUCGGAUUAGCUAGUUGGUGGGGUAAUGGCUCACCAAGGCGACGAUCCGUAACUGGUCUGAGAGGAUGAUCAGUCACACUGGAACUGAGACACGGUCCAGACUCCUACGGGAGGCAGCAGUGGGGAAUAUUGGACAAUGGGCGAAAGCCUGAUCCAGCCAUGCCGCGUGUGUGAAGAAGGUCUUCGGAUUGUAAAAGCACUUUAAGUUGGGAGGAAGGGCAGUAAGUUAAUACCUUGCUGUUUUGACGUUACCGACAGAAUAAGCACCGGCUAACUCUGUGCCAGCCGCC